RNAcentral lists this transfer RNA (59 nucleotides) under Ictidomys tridecemlineatus (thirteen-lined ground squirrel). RNAcentral describes it as "Spermophilus tridecemlineatus (thirteen-lined ground squirrel) tRNA". It matches the Rfam family "tRNA", at positions 8 to 63 of the family's 71-position model. From Rfam's summary of the family: Transfer RNA (tRNA) molecules are approximately 80 nucleotides in length. Their secondary structure includes four short double-helical elements and three loops (D, anti-codon, and T loops). The record is from Rfam by way of RNAcentral. Lineage: Eukaryota; Metazoa; Chordata; Mammalia; Rodentia; Sciuridae.
UAGUUCAGUUGGUAGAGUGCUUGCCUUGCAUGCAAAAGGCCCUGGGUUCUAAUUCCCAG